GCCAAAAUAGCUCAGCUGGUAGAGCAACUGACUUGUAAUCAGUAGGUCGCGGGUUCGACUCCUGUUUUUGGCA
RNAcentral lists this transfer RNA (73 nucleotides) under Candidatus Phytoplasma australiense. It matches the Rfam family "tRNA". Rfam says of the family: Transfer RNA (tRNA) molecules are approximately 80 nucleotides in length. Their secondary structure includes four short double-helical elements and three loops (D, anti-codon, and T loops). The record is from Rfam by way of RNAcentral. Lineage: Bacteria; Bacillati; Mycoplasmatota; Mollicutes; Acholeplasmatales; Acholeplasmataceae.